This 443-nucleotide ribosomal RNA is filed under the name uncultured bacterium. Its description in RNAcentral is "bacterial SSU rRNA". It matches the Rfam family "Bacterial small subunit ribosomal RNA", at positions 335 to 795 of the family's 1533-position model. The record is from RNAcentral.
ACUCCUACGGGAGGCAGCAGUGGGGAAUAUUGCACAAUGGGGGAAACCCUGAUGCAGCAACGCCGCGUGAGUGAUGACGGUCUUCGGAUUGUAAAGCUCUGUCUUCAGGGACGAUAAUGACGGUACCUGAGGAGGAAGCCACGGCUAACUACGUGCCAGCAGCCGCGGUAAUACGUAGGUGGCAAGCGUUGUCCGGAUUUACUGGGCGUAAAGGGAGCGUAGGUGGAUAUUUAAGUGGGAUGUGAAAUACUCGGGCUUAACCUGGGUGCUGCAUUCCAAACUGGAUAUCUAGAGUGCAGGAGAGGAAAGUAGAAUUCCUAGUGUAGCGGUGAAAUGCGUAGAGAUUAGGAAGAAUACCAGUGGCGAAGGCGACUUUCUGGACUGUAACUGACACUGAGGCUCGAAAGCGUGGGGAGCAAACAGGAUUAGAUACCCUGGUAGUC